GGCGGCGUGCCUAAUACAUGCAAGUCGAACGCGAGCAGCAAUGCUCGAGUGGCGAACGGGUGAGUAAUACAUAAGUAACCUGCCCUAGACAGGGGGAUAACUGCUGGAAACGGCAGCUAACACCGCAUAGGUAUGGACACUGCAUGGUGACCAUAUUAAAAGUGCCAAGGCACUGGUAGAGGAUGGACUUAUGGCGCAUUAGCUGGUUGGUGAGGUGACGGCUCACCAAGGCGACGAUGCGUAGCCGACCUGAGAGGGUGACCGGCCACACUGGGACUGAGACACGGCCCAGACUCCUGCGGGAGGCAGCAGUAGGGAAUUUUCGGCAAUGGGGGGAACCCUGACCGAGCAACGCCGCGUGAAGGAAGAAGGAAUUCGUUCUGUAAACUUCUGUUAUAAAGGAAGAACGGCGGAUAUAGGGAAUGAUAUCCGAGUGACGGUACUUUAUGAGAAAGCCACGGCUAACUACGUGCCAGCAGCCGCGGUAAUACGUAGGUGGCGAGCGUUAUCCGGAAUUAUUGGGCGUAAAGAGGGAGCAGGCGGCGGCAGAGGUCUGUGGUGAAAGACUGAAGCUUAACUUCAGUAAGCCAUAGAAACCGGGCUGCUAGAGUGCAGGAGAGGAUCGUGGAAUUCCAUGUGUAGCGGUGAAAUGCGUAGAUAUAUGGAGGAACACCAGUGGCGAAGGCGACGGUCUGGCCUGUAACUGACGCUCAUUCCCGAAAGCGUGGGGAGCAAAUAGGAUUAGAUACCCUAGUAGUCCACGCCGUAAACGAUGGAGUACUAAGUGUUGGGAGUCAAAUUUCAGUGCUGCAGUUAACGCAAUAAGUACUCCGCGUGAGUAGUACGUUCGCAAGAAUGAAACUCAAAGGAAUUGACGGGGGCCCGCACAAGCGGUGGAGCAUGUGGUUUAAUUCGAAGCAACGCGAAGAACCUUACCAGGUCUUGACAUCCGGAUAAAGACCUCAGAGAUGAGGGGAUAGAUAUAUCCGAGACAGGUGGUGCAUGGUUGUCGUCAGCUCGUGUCGUGAGAUGUUGGGUUAAGUCCCGCAACGAGCGCAACCCUUGUCGCUAGUUACCAUCAUUAAGUUGGGGACUCUAGCGAGACUGCCAGUGACAAGCUGGAGGAAGGCGGGGAUGACGUCAAAUCAUCAUGCCCCUUAUGACCUGGGCUACACACGUGCUACAAUGGAUGGAGCAGAGGGAAGCGAAGCCGCGAGGUGAAGCAAAACCCAUAAAACCAUUCUCAGUUCGGAUUGUAGUCUGCAACUCGACUACAUGAAGUUGGAAUCGCUAGUAAUCGCGAAUCAGCAUGUCGCGGUGAAUACGUUCUCGGGCCUUGCACU
This 1343-nucleotide ribosomal RNA is filed under the name uncultured bacterium. RNAcentral describes it as "bacterial SSU rRNA". It matches the Rfam family "Bacterial small subunit ribosomal RNA", at positions 38 to 1387 of the family's 1533-position model. The record is from RNAcentral.